Molecule: long non-coding RNA, 705 nt
Filed under: Monodelphis domestica (gray short-tailed opossum)
Lineage: Eukaryota; Metazoa; Chordata; Mammalia; Didelphimorphia; Didelphidae
Description: lncRNA (ENSMODG00000035536.2)
Source: RNAcentral
AUGUCCUUAAUGAUUUUAGCUACUCACAAGCUUAAAAGAAGAGAAUGUAAAUAUACACAGUCAGAGGAAGAAUGGUCAAGGAAAAGUAAAGAAAUUGUGAAACAAGGGCCAUUCACUUUGAAAUCAGAAUCUGAAACACUAAUACAUUAUUGGAGGAACUGUGAACUGAUCCAACCAUUUUGGAGAGCAAUCUGGAAUCAUUCCAAGAGAGUUAUAAAACUGUGUAUAUCUUUAGAUCCAAUAAUAUCACUUUUGAGUCUGUUUCCUAAGGUGAUCAGGGAAAAAGGAAAAGAACCUAAAUGCUCUAAAAUAUUUAUAGGAACUCUCCUUGUGGUAGCAAAGAACUGGAAAUUGAGGGGAUGUCCAUCAGUUGAGGAAUGACAGAACAAGUUGUGGCAUGAUUGUGGUGGAAUUCUUCUGUGCUGUAAGAAAUGAAGAGCUGGUUAAUUUAAAAAACCAUGGAAAGACCUAUAUGAAAUUAAUAAUUUGAAGAAAAUCUUGAGGAUGUCAACUUCCAACUUAUACAAAGUAUGUACAAUAUGUAUAUAUAUAUGUAAAUAUAUAUUUCUUGUAAAAUAAUGCCUUCUCUAGUGUGGAGAGGAGAGGGAGUGAGGCAGAUAUCUAGGAAUGUUAAGGUCACCAACAAACUAAUUAAUUUUUUAAAAAAGAAAUAAAGCAGAAUCUGAGAAAUGGAAUCUUUCUACA